RNAcentral lists this unclassified non-coding RNA (272 nucleotides) under plant metagenome. RNAcentral describes it as "partial contains small subunit ribosomal RNA, internal transcribed spacer 1, and 5.8S ribosomal RNA". The record is from RNAcentral.
UUUCCGUAGGUGAACCUGCGGAAGGAUCUUUAAUGAGUUGUCAUGGGGUUCGAUGCUGGCAGCCAGUUUUUGGAUGCAUGUGCUUGCCCUAACAAUCAUCUUCUUCCAAACACCUGUGCACAUUUUUGAGGGAGUCUUGAGUUGGUUGCCGCUCUUGGGUGAUUUUCUCACAUUCCCUUAAAUCAUUAUACGCUAUUAACAAUGUUGAACGUGCUCUGUGCCGCAAGGCCAUUAAUAUAAUACAACUUUUAACAACGGAUCUCUUGGCUCUC